CUCAGGAGAUCCUUCCUCUUGGAGCCCUUCUGCAAGCCCAGGACACAGUUCCCCCCCUUCCUGACCUGGGCAGCCUUUGGGAAAGAUCUGCUGUCAUCCUGGAUGAUUUCGAACCUUACAGUAGAGGUUCAUUAGCAUCUUUAGCAACUUUGGAGAUCCACAUGAAGCAAAGUCAUACCUGCAGGACCUCAAUGUUUGAGGCAGUGAAGGAUGCUGAAUUUCAAUGAUACCCACAGAAGGCGAGCUGGUCCCAUGCUGUUGCUGGCUCAGCACCCGUUUGCCUGGAUUUGUCCCUGGAACAACAAAGAAGAGCCCAGCGAGGGGUCAGCAUGGUUCAUUUGCCCUUUGGCCACAGCUUGCCAACAGGAUCCAGCUGAAUAGCUGCCAGUGCAGCGGGCUGGUGGGAAAAUGCUUGUGGAGCUUCUUGUAGGCAAGGGGAGCUCAAACACUUGUUUCAUCUUGGAAAUGUGUGCCAUUUUUUUCCAAGUUGUCCAAACAUUUGGCUUCUGUAUUUCCAUCAGUGACACAUCCCAGGGUUUCUAAUUGAAAAGGUCUUUUCUCUGCAUGGUUAGGCUGCUUGUAGAAAAAAAGAAAACAGGAAGCUUGAAAUUAUCAAAGAAAAAUAUUUUCAUUGACCUAGAAAUUUCUUACCCUUCAGUUUCUUGGUUAGUACAUUUUUCAAGACUCUUCAUCUCCAUGAGAGAAAUACUGUCAUUACUAUAUCUCAAAAAUGCCAACCGAAGGAAAGAGUUAAUAAUUACCAACAUCUAUUUUUAACCUGAUACCACCAGUCACAUCUCACAGAUGGCAGCUGGACUCCCUUGAGGCUCUGCCAUUGACUUUAUCAAUGAUUUGAAGCCAGAGAGGAUUUAAGUGGGUGGGACAUUCCCCAGCUCUAUGCUAACAGAGUCAGAACAGCAGCUGUUACAGAUAGGUAGGAGCUGGGAGCAUCUCUAAAGAGUCCGUGCUCAAGAAACAUUUAGAUGUUGUUCUAAGGGACACCGUUUAGUGGGGAAUAUUGGUGAUAAGUGGACUGUUGGAUGGGAUGAUCUUCGAGAUCUUUUCCAGCCUUGAUGAUGCUAUGAUGAUGCUAUGAUUCUACAACUGCCCUGCCAGUUUCUGGUGUCACAUGCCUCCAUCAUCCAUCUACCACUGAAAAUAAACUGCUCGUUUCUUUCUCCCCCUCAGUUCCAUAACUCAAAGGAUGAGAUAGAUUUUUCUGCACGUUUCCAAGAAGUUUGCCACUAGGCAAGGACCAGGCAUGCAAAACCUUCAACCUGAGACAUGAAUGUUUGCAAAAGUUAUUAGCUUAUGAAAACAGCUCUAAUGGAAACUGUUUUACUGCCAUCAUUUUAACGCUACGAACAGAGCCUGCUGCAAUAUAUAACAUUAUCAAGUGCCUGUCAGCAUUUAAUAGAAGCCAUAAUUAACUGCUGUGGAAGAACAUAGCAAAAAAUUUAUUUUUAGGAAAACUUUUGGGAGCUGCAUAAUUCUGGCCUUAUUUCUUUCUUAUAAUCCCUCUCUACACGAGCCUUAAUAAAGUUCAUAGGACAGAGUGAAUACAGGACACAGGCGUGUAUCUUGUAGUAUUAGCGAUAGGAUUUUCUUUUCUGUUAAACUACAUAAUCCAGAAACAACAGUGAUGUUUGCUUUGGGACCUGGCCAGGCACUCAGCUCUGGAUUCAGCCUUCCUGACUGGUGCAACUUUCUCAUUUCCAUUGGCCAAAGGUGCUCACAGCCAGGGCUUGGCAGUCCCCAUUUCAGGGUGUCCACCUCCUGGUGCUUCGUGCCCCACAUCAAC
Molecule: long non-coding RNA, 1801 nt
Filed under: Gallus gallus (chicken)
Lineage: Eukaryota; Metazoa; Chordata; Aves; Galliformes; Phasianidae
Source: RNAcentral